Molecule: long non-coding RNA, 348 nt
Filed under: Eucalyptus grandis
Lineage: Eukaryota; Viridiplantae; Streptophyta; Magnoliopsida; Myrtales; Myrtaceae
Description: long non-coding RNA (EGRA_LNC002155)
Source: RNAcentral
CCCAUUGACGAAGCCUGGAUUUCCUUGAGACAAACCAAGCACAUUGGCGCCAGCAAUUUUCCCCCGAGACGCUUGCAGCUUCCUGAUGAACCCCCGCUCAGCACAGAGACGUGAAGGGAACACGACACAUGCAGGACGGGAUAUUUGAUUCAUGCCUUGGCUUCUUCUUUGAUUAAAAUCUUGCCAUGUGUCUUUUAUCUAUUUAUUUAUUUAUUUAAGCAUAGUCUCAUGAAUGAUCCCAUAUUCUGAUCAUCACCAUAUUGACGUCUUCCCCCAUUUUUGCAUUCUGCAACACACGGACACAUAUUUGUGGACGUAGCAGAGGGUCUUAGUGGACAAGAGACGGCC